RNAcentral lists this small RNA (630 nucleotides) under Fusarium proliferatum. RNAcentral's name for it is "eukaryotic LSU rRNA". The stretch from base 205 to 358 matches the Rfam family "5.8S ribosomal RNA". Lineage: Eukaryota; Fungi; Ascomycota; Sordariomycetes; Hypocreales; Nectriaceae. The record is from RNAcentral.
UGGAAGUAAAAAGUCGUAACAAGGUCUCCGUUGGUGAACCAGCGGAGGGAUCAUUACCGAGUUUACAACUCCCAAACCCCUGUGAACAUACCAAUUGUUGCCUCGGCGGAUCAGCCCGCUCCCGGUAAAACGGGACGGCCCGCCAGAGGACCCCUAAACUCUGUUUCUAUAUGUAACUUCUGAGUAAAACCAUAAAUAAAUCAAAACUUUCAACAACGGAUCUCUUGGUUCUGGCAUCGAUGAAGAACGCAGCAAAAUGCGAUAAGUAAUGUGAAUUGCAGAAUUCAGUGAAUCAUCGAAUCUUUGAACGCACAUUGCGCCCGCCAGUAUUCUGGCGGGCAUGCCUGUUCGAGCGUCAUUUCAACCCUCAAGCCCCCGGGUUUGGUGUUGGGGAUCGGCGAGCCCUUGCGGCAAGCCGGCCCCGAAAUCUAGUGGCGGUCUCGCUGCAGCUUCCAUUGCGUAGUAGUAAAACCCUCGCAACUGGUACGCGGCGCGGCCAAGCCGUUAAACCCCCAACUUCUGAAUGUUGACCUCGGAUCAGGUAGGAAUACCCGCUGAACUUAAGCAUAUCAAUAAGUCGGAGGAAAAGAAACCAACAGGGAUUGCCCUUGUUACGACUUUUUACUUCCA